UACGUAGGGGGCAAGCGUUGUUCGGAUUUACUGGGCGUAAAGGGUGCGUAGGUGGUGAGGUAAGUCGGAUGUGAAAGCUCGGAGCUCAACUCCGAAAUGGCAUUGGAAACUACCUUGCUCGAGGGUUGGAGGGGGGACUGGAAUACUUGGUGUAGCAGUGAAAUGCGUAGAUAUCAAGUGGAACACCAGUGGCGAAGGCGAGUCCCUGGACAACUCCUGACACUGAGGCACGAAAGCUAGGGGAGCAAACAGG
Molecule: ribosomal RNA, 253 nt
Filed under: uncultured bacterium
Lineage: Bacteria
Description: partial 16S ribosomal RNA
Rfam family: Bacterial small subunit ribosomal RNA
Source: RNAcentral